GGGCCUGUAGCCUAGUCUGGAUAGGGCGGUCGGCUUCGGACCGGCUGGCGGGGGUUCAAAUCCCUCCAGGCUCA
Molecule: transfer RNA, 74 nt
Filed under: Candidatus Woesearchaeota archaeon
Lineage: Archaea; Nanobdellati; Candidatus Woesearchaeota
Description: tRNA-Arg
Rfam family: tRNA
About the family: Transfer RNA (tRNA) molecules are approximately 80 nucleotides in length. Their secondary structure includes four short double-helical elements and three loops (D, anti-codon, and T loops).
Source: RNAcentral